This 474-nucleotide ribosomal RNA is filed under the name uncultured organism. RNAcentral describes it as "partial 16S ribosomal RNA". It matches the Rfam family "Bacterial small subunit ribosomal RNA", at positions 333 to 798 of the family's 1533-position model. The record is from RNAcentral.
ACACUCCUACGGGAGGCAGCAGUGGGGAAUAUUGCACAAUGGGCGCAAGCCUGAUGCAGCCAUGCCGCGUGUAUGAAGAAGGCCUUCGGGUUGUAAAGUACUUUCAGCGGGGAGGAAGGCGAUAAGGUUAAUAACCUUGUCGAUUGACGUUACCCGCAGAAGAAGCACCGGCUAACUCCGUGCCAGCAGCCGCGGUAAUACGGAGGGUGCAAGCGUUAAUCGGAAUUACUGGGCGUAAAGCGCACGCAGGCGGUCUGUCAAGUCGGAUGUGAAAUCCCCGGGCUCAACCUGGGAACUGCAUUCGAAACUGGCAGGCUAGAGUCUUGUAGAGGGGGGUAGAAUUCCAGGUGUAGCGGUGAAAUGCGUAGAGAUCUGGAGGAAUACCGGUGGCGAAGGCGGCCCCCUGGACAAAGACUGACGCUCAGGUGCGAAAGCGUGGGGAGCAAACAGGAUUAGAUACCCGGGUAGUCCCAU